Molecule: long non-coding RNA, 215 nt
Filed under: Carica papaya (papaya)
Lineage: Eukaryota; Viridiplantae; Streptophyta; Magnoliopsida; Brassicales; Caricaceae
Description: long non-coding RNA (CPAP_LNC006751)
Source: RNAcentral
GUUUAUGACAUGUCUUACAAAAUAAAUGCAAUUAAGGAACAAAACUCCUACUGAAACUACAUAUCAUCUAGGGAUAUAACACUCAUAUGAGUAUUGUACUCAUGAAAGACCUUAGGUGGUAAUCCUUUAGUGAGAUGAUCUACAAUCAUGGAGUUUGUUCCAAUAUGCUCUAUUAAUAUUUGCUUAUUCUGAACUCUUUCUUUAACAAUGAGGAA